UGGGGAAUAUUGGACAAUGGGCGCAAGCCUGAUCCAGCAAUACCGCGUGUGUGAAGAAGGCCUGCGGGUUGUAAAGCACUUUCAGCAAGGAAGAAAAGCCAUAGGUGAAUAGCCUGAGGUCUUGACGUUACUUGCAGAAGAAGCACCGGCUAACUCCGUGCCAGCAGCCGCGGUAAUACGGAGGGUGCAAGCGUUAAUCGGAAUUACUGGGCGUAAAGCGCGCGUAGGCGGUCAGAUAAGUCAGAUGUGAAAUCCCAGGGCUCAACCUUGGAACUGCAUUUGAUACUGUUUGACUAGAGUAUGUUAGAGGAAAGCGGAAUUCCGGGUGUAGCGGUGAAAUGCGUAGAUAUCCGGAGGAACAUCAGUGGCGAAGGCGGCUUUCUGGAACAAUACUGACGCUGAGGUGCGAAAGCGUGGGGAGCAAACA
This 427-nucleotide ribosomal RNA is filed under the name uncultured Gammaproteobacteria bacterium. RNAcentral's name for it is "bacterial SSU rRNA". It matches the Rfam family "Bacterial small subunit ribosomal RNA", at positions 355 to 774 of the family's 1533-position model. Lineage: Bacteria; Pseudomonadati; Pseudomonadota; Gammaproteobacteria. The record is from RNAcentral.